Molecule: ribosomal RNA, 253 nt
Filed under: uncultured bacterium
Lineage: Bacteria
Description: partial 16S ribosomal RNA
Rfam family: Bacterial small subunit ribosomal RNA
Source: RNAcentral
UACGUAGGGGGCAAGCGUUGUCCGGAUUUAUUGGGCGUAAAGAGCGUGUAGGCGGCCACACAGGUCUGCUGUGAAAACUCGAGGCUCAACCUCGAGCUGUCGGUGGAAACCGUGUGGCUAGAGUCCGGAAGAGGAGAGUGGAGUUCCCGGUGUAGCGGUGAAAUGCGCAGAUAUCGGGAAGAACACCCGUGGCGAAGGCGGCUCUCUGGGACGGUACUGACGCUGAGGCGCGAAAGCGUGGGGAGCAAACAGG